RNAcentral lists this ribosomal RNA (432 nucleotides) under Pseudomonas aeruginosa. Its description in RNAcentral is "bacterial SSU rRNA". It matches the Rfam family "Bacterial small subunit ribosomal RNA", at positions 888 to 1320 of the family's 1533-position model. The record is from RNAcentral. Lineage: Bacteria; Pseudomonadati; Pseudomonadota; Gammaproteobacteria; Pseudomonadales; Pseudomonadaceae.
GCAAGGUUAAAACUCAAAUGAAUUGACGGGGGCCCGCACAAGCGGUGGAGCAUGUGGUUUAAUUCGAUGCAACGCGAAGAACCUUACCUGGUCUUGACAUCCACAGAACUUUCCAGAGAUGGAUUGGUGCCUUCGGGAACUGUGAGACAGGUGCUGCAUGGCUGUCGUCAGCUCGUGUUGUGAAAUGUUGGGUUAAGUCCCGCAACGAGCGCAACCCUUAUCCUUUGUUGCCAGCGGUUCGGCCGGGAACUCAAAGGAGACUGCCAGUGAUAAACUGGAGGAAGGUGGGGAUGACGUCAAGUCAUCAUGGCCCUUACGACCAGGGCUACACACGUGCUACAAUGGCAUAUACAAAGAGAAGCGACCUCGCGAGAGCAAGCGGACCUCAUAAAGUAUGUCGUAGUCCGGAUUGGAGUCUGCAACUCGACUCCA